Long non-coding RNA from Pyrus x bretschneideri (Chinese white pear), 1099 nucleotides. RefSeq lists it as uncharacterized. The transcript is spliced from 4 exons. The record is from RefSeq and is a predicted model, not a curated record. Lineage: Eukaryota; Viridiplantae; Streptophyta; Magnoliopsida; Rosales; Rosaceae.
AUUUCUUUCUCUCACAAUUCUCUGCUUCUGUCUCUCUCGCUCUCCAACGCUACCUUCUCUCGCUCUCCGACCUUGCGAUCUCAGUCACGAAAAUCUGCUUCUAUCGCUCUCAGUAGCUUUUAAAUUUCAGUUGAAGCGAUUCUACUGGUCUCAAAUUACACCAUAUUUGAGGGCGAAAAUUUAAUUCUGUAGUAGGGGAGAGCUUCCCUGUGAUUCUUUAAAAUCAAAGAGCUCCCCUAUUACCAUUGCAGCAGAGGCACGAGUACCGCGUGUAUUUCUACAAGGUCUUCAAGCUUUACACAAAGCCAUGGAUCGCAAGACACUCCUCCCUCUGUUCUCUCACGCAUCUUCAGCUCUGUCUCUUUCACUCUUUAGGUACCUGCCGCUGUUGCCGAUCUGCAGAGUCUGAGGAGAAGAAGGUGGAGGCUGAAAGUCAAUGGACUCCCACAAGGAGAAAGUUGAAAAUCCAUUCGUAGAUUUUUUUAACUUAAAUUUCUGGGUUGUGCUCAAAUUUUCGUUAAAUUUGUGGGUUUUUUUGGCGUGAUUUUAUCUGCAAGUUCUGGUUGCAUUGAAGGAUGGUAAGCCUCUUCACUCUCCUCUUUUUUUUCUCUCUAAACUCUUUUUGUGGAAUAUAUUUUGUUUGAUUGCAGAGUUUUUGGUUCUUAAAAAUCUCCAAUUUUUUUUAUUUGGUUUCCUCUUGAUUAUUGUUGCCUAAAACUCUAUCAAGGGUUUGCUUUUUUGAUUGUGACCUUAAACAGUCGAAGAAGGUUUAUUUAAUGGCUGAAGAAAUUGACGAUUGUUUGGUCAUCAAAUAUUUCUCCUCUUUUGUUUGUUUGAUUUCUUUCUAAUAUUCAAAUAAUUAUUGUUGUGUAAUCCUGAUAGCACUGUUGCUGCAGCUCGAAUAGACAUGUACCAAAGCAUGAGAGAUGCUCUUGCGCAGCAGUAUGGUGGCUUUGCAGCUCACAACACCUCUUCUUGACAACAACAAUUUAUCUGGGUAUCUUCCGCCAUAGUUCUCGGAGUUGCCAAGCUUAUUAAUACUGUAUGUUUUCUUACUUCGGAACAUAAAUUUGUGCCUUAAUUAUGUUUUCAUCCUUUC